RNAcentral lists this ribosomal RNA (253 nucleotides) under uncultured bacterium. Its description in RNAcentral is "partial 16S ribosomal RNA". It matches the Rfam family "Bacterial small subunit ribosomal RNA", at positions 524 to 776 of the family's 1533-position model. The record is from RNAcentral.
UACGAAGGGGGCUAGCGUUGCUCGGAAUCACUGGGCGUAAAGCGCACGUAGGCGGCUUUUUAAGUCAGGGGUGAAAUCCUGGAGCUCAACUCCAGAACUGCCUUUGAUACUGAGAAGCUUGAGUCCGGGAGAGGUGAGUGGAACUGCGAGUGUAGAGGUGAAAUUCGUAGAUAUUCGGAAGAACACCAGUGGCGAAGGCGGCUCACUGGUCCGAUACUGACGCUGAGGAGCGAAAGCGUGGGGAGCGAACAGG